GCUACAAAAUGGGACCCUUUUGCCAGUAUCAAAAGUGUGAAUAACAAUUGUUUUUACCCUUUCUGGCAAUAAAACAGGAUGUGUUAAGAUGUCCACAUACCAAAUAGAAUCGUUUAUCAAGGAAUCCAAGUUCGCAUUCACCACACGUCCUUGUGGUGAACAUGCAAAAAAAACUAAUAAUAUAUGCAGUGUCUUUGAAACUGAUUGGCCUACACCAGAGACAGCCUUCUUUAGGUCCUGGUCUCACCACCAGUGUCAGACCAGAGAGAGUCCAAUUUUGUAGCUGCUCACCACGAUCAGAACUGUCCUGAAAAUUGCAUCAUUUGCUGCUGCUGUGUGAGCAAAAGUGCAACAAACACAGUUAACAACAAUCAACGCAUUUCGUCAAUAAAACCGCGGCCUUAAAUACAGAAAUAUAUUAAACGAAAUACAACCGACGACGUUUCGGGCAAUGGCACUUCUUCACAACACAGAAGCCGAAGAGAUGCUGAACUUCUUUCUCACCGUACGUUGCCAACCGUGCUAAUCGGAGGUGCUGUGAAUGUGCAUUGCCCAAAACUAUGUUCAUUAUAAACGUUUUCUUUUUUUAAGGCGGUGUUAUUAACGAAUGUGUUUCGUUUUGUUGCAUUUGAGCUGUGCACAAUGAGUAGAUUCACCAACUAAAAUCUGCAAUGAACUACGUUCGUGGUCGAUUAGUUGGGCCCCCAUUUACGCAUAAAUCUCGCCUCUCAAACGCCGCAAUUAGCUGUCCCAUGAGCAGCUUCCAACCUUUAAGGUUUCCAAAGAUCGACACGCCUAAAACAUUAUUUCAAGGUCAAGAGGUAAACGUGACUAAUGCUGAUGCCACCACAACUCACCAUCCUUUCCGUCUGCUGGCUUUCCCCUAAGUUGUUUCUAAAGUCGACAAAUUGGCAUCCCUCCAACCAUUGCUCUCCGUUCUAUUCCAAACUUCGAAGUUACAUCCUUUUCCAUCCUGCACGUUUGGCACCAAUCGCCAUAUCGGGUUUUUUUUUACUUUGUUACAUUUACAACGCUUUAAUGCCACGUUUCAUUCGGAAACCUUCGAGCUCUUUACAAAUACUGAGCCUAUCUUAUCCACGUAACACUCAAACAUUAUCUAGCAUAUGCAAUGUAUUCAGAAUGGCCAAAAGCUUCUGAAAUGCUCGAGAACCUUAACUGAUCGCCGCAUCCAAUUAAAUGCAACUUAGAAAAAAAACCCCAUCGGUUGUCCACAACAUGCGGACGGAAACUUUAGUCGUAUUUUUUUUCUUAAAACUAAAAACUUUUCACAUGGUGUUAACGUGACCCACAUGGACGAAUCUGCUCGCGGGCGAAACUGCGACUGGCGCCAACCGAGCUCGUAUAAAAGCAACGACCGGGCGGGUGGGAGGGAGCAGUGGCGCGGCCGCCAUCGUUGCCUAUCUGCAACAACAUCGUCGUGGUCGUCUUCAGUUAAAUCCGUCGGCAUCCUCCGCCAUCGCAGCCUCCUCGUCGCCUACUAACAUCGUCAACCGGAAGAGCGGGAAGUCAUGAGCCGUUUCGUCGCGGAACAUCGACGGCGUGGCGGCCGAUGGAGCGAGAUAUUGGCCGGCGAAAACAAACGCUUUCCCUUGAACUAAAAUGGAGCUUGGCUUGACCACCAUGUUGAGAUGGCCUCAGAAGCUUUGAGGAAUGACAGCCUUUUGGUGGGAAGAAAUAUAAAAGCCAUUACCCGGCUGUGACAGGAUUAAUAUUUUUUCUGCCAUUUGCACUCAUGAGCUUGAAAAUAUACGUGUUGUGUUUUUUUAGUAAGUGCUCUUUGUUAUAUUUAAAGUGGCAUGCAUGAAUUGUAAGCAGCACUUGCCUUGUACACAGGGUUGUUGGAUCAUGCAGUUAAUUUUUUUAAAUUGAAUUACGGUUCGUGAUGAGUUAACAUUGACGUAAUGUUUUGUACACAACGCAUUUUUUUAAGUUUAAACUGCAUCCGAUUAACGAAUAUGAAAUGUUAUGGAACGAGGCAUUCUUGCAUUGAACGGCAGUGUGAACCACGAACCCGGCUGGAUGAAGCGAAUGACAUCUAAAAAGCCAAACUAGAUCCUUUUUAAACUCAAAAUUAUCUUGAGUUAUGCCAUAAAGCCACGACGUUUGUGGCUUACAUCGCUGGACCAACGUUUAGAAUGGUCCCGAGGAACCGGGCAGGAUUUGCGAAGCGGACCCAUCUGUCCAAGGCGCCCUGGUCACUUCGACACCAAUCAAUGUACCGACAGUUUUAAAUGGUUCUUUUUUUUAAAGAAACACCCUUCUAAAAUCCCACCACAUCUUCGACCACGAACGCCUGGAUGUAAACAACGUAGAAUUAAAUCCAUGGGAAGCUGGGAUGGUGGCUUCAUUUGCUGAAAAAUUAAGGGAUUUGUUUUCACUAGGACCAUCCCCACAUUCUCUUCCGUCAUAUCCAUCCUGCUGGGAUCUUUUUUUCUCCACGAAGCGUGGAGUUCGUGGCGGUUCUUGUCCACAGAAGCUUGUGGAUCACAGGUAAAAGGACAAGGCAAACAAAUGUACACGCCACCAUUUCAACAUUUGCGUAUUAUGGCUUUCAUAGAUAGCACACAGCACGUUAUUCUUUUUCAAGCCAUAGAAUUAAACAUCUUUAACAUCAAAUCAGUAAAUGUUUACGUUACGGUGUUACUGGAGUGGUUUUCCAUGAUAUUCCAGAUGUCCACCGUUGUAACACACUCGCUUUUUGCUUACAUAUAACAUUUCUUUAAAUUGCAAAAUAUUUAACAGCUUUCCACCAACAAACGCGAUGCUAAAUAUCCACCCCCGCAGAGAGAAAAAAAAAUAUCCAACGUUGAAUUUCACUUGGCUUUACCUCGUGAUGAAAAAUAACGAAACAAAAAAAAUUAAGCCACGAAUCCAGCUGCGAAUCGUUUUUUUUCCACCCCCACCAAAAGGAAUCCUCGAGAAAAUUUCCACUGCGCCACGCCACUUGAGCACCACCAUCACCACCACCACCUCCCUUCACCGGGCGCCAUUGUGCCAUCUUCCCCCACAGCUGACAAGAUUUGCCUCCCUCCAUGGCUCCGCGCAUUCCCUCUUCUCUCGUCGGUAUCCAAGACAGGGCAUGGCUGCCGUGCUCCUCCCUCAUUCCUUCCCUCCCUCAUUCCUUCCUUCCCUCAUUCAUUCCCUCCUCCCACCCUCCCACCUCCCCCCCCUUCUUCCUCUCGACGAGAAAUUCGUUAAACAUUUCUCAUCCACCCAACGUUAACGUCCACCCACUUUUACUCCAGAAGCGGCGGGUGAUGUUGGCUCAAUAGCAACAACAAAACCACCGCCGCCACCACCACCAACCAAGCGGCAACAACAACAACCAGGAGGGAGAAGAGCUGAAGGGGAAGGGCGGCGGCUGUGGGUGGUUGCAUUGCAUGUAAAGCAGCUGUCCUCUACACCGGUGCAGGCAGCCUUGCGCGGUCGAGAUGUCCUCUUCCUUCUGAGCUUCUCCGCUCACCAUUCACCGCCACAAUACGAAGAAGAUGCCUCAUUCUCUCGUCAAAGAUUUCGUAUGGAUGGUCGCCCCCAGAGUGUGCGACUUGGCACACGAGGAGGAGCAGGGAUGAGGAAUGGCGUUGUUGGAGUUGUUUUUUUUUGUUGUCCUCCACAUCACCCAACAACCACCAUCACCAACAACAUCGCAUUCCAAAACCUCGGUCGCCAGACAAACAGGAUUUUUUGUUUUAUUUUCUCGUUGCCGAUGCUUGCCGCCGUUGUUUUUUUUUGAGAAUUUUUUGUAGCUAUACAGCCGGUUAAAAAGAGCGAGAGGAGGAGAGGGGGCCCCGGUGUUUGUGGAGAGAACUUGACACGAAGAAGAAGAGGCGGCGAGACGCAUGGAAGCUUCCAGUGAUGAUGAGUAAGGCGUUGCCCUCUUGGCAAGUGCAGCGAGCUCAUGCCUCACAUUGCGGCUUGGCUUUGCCGGCGGAGGGUGGUGGUAGGGUGGAGGGGGGGGGGUCGGUGCAGCCACCACACAGCAUAUUCGAUAGCUGCACUCUUUAAAAUACACCGCCACAUCUUCUACACAUUCGCAACUCCGCAAUCUUCUCGCUGCACACACUUGACGCACACCGCAAGUUCAUACCUUGCACGCUUGACUGCAGCGACAUUAGACGCUGCUGGAGAUUGCGCAUUUUGACGCUGUGUAGGUAGGUAGCGUAGCUUGCUUUGCACGCUGGACGGACACCUAAACGCAUAGCAGCACAGAUGGCGAUACGUUCUGCAGCACAAUUGGGACUCGUAAACUGGUCGCCGCGGGGUUUUUUUCCCUCUCUCAUUCGCCGUCGCAGCCGGGCACACUUUGACGCCACAAAGCUGCACGAAGCCACUGGCUGGAGAUGCGCUUGGGCACAAUUUUCUUGGCUGCGAAAUUGACACGCGCGCACGUCUGUAGCUUGCAGACACCACAAUAUAACUGCGCGUUGACAUUGCACCCGGUCUACAGAUGCACAUUGUUUUUAAAAUACAGUACAUCCUAUAGCUGCACAUUUGUACACUACCAGUAUAUACUGUCCUUUUACGACUGCACUUUUGACACAAACGGAUACAGAUGGAUUCAGCAUAGCCUGCUUAUUUAGCUGCACGCACUUGCAACGCCACAAUCUUAAAAAGCUGCACGCGUGGCAUUAACUCCACUAUUCCUAAGCUGCACACUUUUGACAUCUCAUACAGCCUAUAUAAUAGUAGUAACAAUACAGUAUUGGAACUGCAUUAUCCUCAUUUCGGGAGAUCGGCCAAAAGCCGCUGCGUCCUGGGGGAGGGUCCCCUUGAUUCCUUGACCCCCCACUUGGUUUUCUUGUCCCCAGACUCCUCCUGGACUUGGCAGGUCCCCUUGCCUCCAGGACCCCGGCUGUCGGAGACCAAGACCCCCAACACGCCACGUCCCACCCCCUUGGGCAAGGGGGUCGACGAGAAGAUAAUUUAUGGAGGUCACCGACUGCGAGCUUAGAUGGUCCGUGUUGUGUUUUUGUGUUUGCGUAUGAUUGUGCAUGGCUGUGUCUUGUGUCCGUUUCUAUGUGUGCAUCUUUGUCUAAUCGCGUGUCUGUGUGUAUGGGUUUUCUGUGCGAAUGUCUAUCGAUUUGGCUGUGUGUCUGCAUGUGUGUGUGUCCGUAAGGUUCGUUGGGUGACUACAUGUCCGAGUGCCUUGUGUAUUUUUAUGCCUGUACGCUCUUGUGUGUACUGCCUUAAUAGGUGCUCAAUAGCAGCACUUGCCCUCACUCCAUAUAAGGCAAUCUAUGCAAGUGUUCCUUGUAAGUCUUUCAAUGUCUAUGUUGUACGUCGUGUACUUUCUAUAUCUCACUUCUACCAUGUGUGUUAAUGUUGUCUGCUGUGGAUCUACAUUGUUAUCAGUGCCUUUGUCAGUCUUAUCGUGUGUCUGUGUGACCCGUCGCCACGUGUCCACGCCUCUUGUCACUGCCCGUGCGUCCGUGAAUGUCUCCGUGCGUAUCUUCCCACCGUGUGUGCUCCAGCUGAUAAUUAAAACCCCCUUGCACACAUCUCCUCGACGCUCUGCUGUUGCUGUUCACUCGUCGUGUUCUGUAUCACCGCAACAGUUUUGCGCGCACAGGUUCACUGCUGCACAAAAAAGAGGUCGUAUUGCAUAACCAGGACGACGACAACAACAACAAUAAUCUGUGUGCCUGCCAACGUAGCGCCGUGUCCAGUUUAACCAAUGCCCUAGAUGGGUGAGUUGUGCGAGGAAGAGGUGGCUUGCACGUGUUAAGAAGUAUUCGCCUUGGUUGUGUUGAGACUGUUUUAAGCGUUACGAGUCCGUCACCCGUACCAGUGUGCGUGUGUGUGAUGUUAAAACUCGUGCGUGGCAGUGCAUCUGUCCCUCGUCUUUGUGUUAUAGACAAAGUGUUGUUUAAGGCGGUGACUGUAAGUGAGUCGGUGUGUGACUAAGGCUGACCUGGGGGGGGGGGGGGGGGUGAUGGCUAUAACUGCGAGGAGGUUGUGAUUGUGUGCAAAUAUAUAAGCCUUCACUGUGCCAGGUGUGUAUAACGUGUGUGACUGUGUGUGUGUAACUUUUAGAUAUGACUCGUCUAUGAAUCUAAUGAAUUCGCCUCCACUGCAGGCUUGCUGAUGAUGAUGAUGAAGAAGAUGAUGGUGGUGGUGUGGGGGGGGAGGCGAUGGUUAUUCUCGGUUUCCAUCACGAACCACAGCCCCAGUCGACUUUGUUCCCAAGCCCCAUCGCCUCUGUCGCACCCGGGACAGAUGCCUCGUUGACAAUCGUGACCACGCCAGUGGUUUGUUGAAUGUCCCCUCGUCCAUCGUUGUAAAAAUCGGCCCCACUCUCUACCGCCGGAUGAAAUGUCUCUUCUCCCGAAACACCGUCGCUCGCGGGUCCCGCAGUCGCUGGCACCGUCCCGUCUUGGCGCAUUUCACCGCUCCAUCUCCGUGCUCGGAGGGCCUCUUUGACGCGCUCUCCUCUCCGCUGGCAUUCCGUCACCGGAUUUCACUUCGACGGUCAGCAUCCCAUCAGGCCCAAAGUCCAUUUUGACGGGGUUGUUUUUUUUUUCCUUAAGUGGCGUCAGAUUUGUUAUUAAUCUCUCCGUUACGUCUUCGAACUACCGUUUACAGAAGCUGAAAUGUGGACAAUCUUCACGUGGAAUUUGGGGAAAAGGACAAACACAAAGGCGGACGGUCUAGUGUUUUUUGUGACCGCCCCAAUAUAAUCGAAUUGGCUGUUACUGGGGAAGAAGACACGAGAGGGUGAAAGAGUCGGGGCUGGUGGUGGUGGGGUCUUGGCGAGGUGGGGAGGGCCCCCUUGUCUGAACCACUCAGCCUCCGGUGUACACCCCCCCCCCCAAAAGCUGUGGUCCAUGACCACCGCGCAUAAGCAGAGGCUGACGACAGCACCGAGCGAGAUUGCGUCAGGGGAGAGAGAGGAGGCGAUAGAGGAGGAGGUGAUAGAGGAGGAGGAGGCACCCCCACCCCCCUCUCUCUGUGGGGGAGGGGAAGAGGAGAGGGGGAGCAGCGAGGGGUAUGGGAGAAGGGUGGAGACCGGGGGCCGAGGGAGGGAGCCGUGGAAUAGGUUGAUGAGGUUAGGAGAGAGAGAGGGAGCAGGGGAGUGGAGAAGGGAGCAGGAUUUUAUUCGUCCGGCCGAAAUUGGUGGUGUGUGAUGGUGUUUUUUUUUAAAUAUAUAUUUUUUUAAAUCCAGUUUUCACCGUAUUAGUUGCAUGGCUUUUUAACGCGUUCGCGUUAUCUGUCACCGUGGCUGUUGUUUCUCCGCGAUUGACGUUGCCAAUUCGUGUUGUGCUUCUCUAACUCGCUGAACAUGUUGCAGCGUCGAAGAGCUUGUUCCUCCACGACGGAUGACGUUGCGUAAAGAUCAUCAUUCUUACCUGGGGGGGGGGGGGUUCAGCUUCGUGUUUGAGAGUCGCGGGGAUAGAGAGAGAUGGAGGAAUGUAUGAUGGGGCUAUGGCUGGGAACAAGAUGGUUUAGGCUAAGCGGGGGAUGGGGAGCAUUGUGAGUGGAGGGGGGGUGGGUUUGACAAGGGGGAAAUGGAGAAUGGCUUUUGGAAUAAGGAACUCAGAAUCCUUUUGCCGGAAUGCGCCCAGUCAUCUCGUGUACAGUGUUAGGGGGUGGGUGGCAGGAGUUUGUGGGGGGAGAGGCUGGGUUGGUGUUCGAGUGUGGGGUUGCAUUGGCGGAAGACGAAUCCCCAUCCAUUGUACUGUGCUUCUAUUGCGCUCAAGAACUAGAUAUGCCCUGCCUGCCUAAACAACUACCGUGGUUCUCUUUUUGCCUUUAAGUCGCCGAGUCUCCGUCCAGAUUGGCCAGGGGAUGGAUUUGUUUGAUGCGCGCUGGUGGAUUGCUUGGUUGAACUUUCGGAAGAGGCACACUUCAGUCACCAGCGUGGUGAAGUAUGGUCAACAUUUCCCCCCACAUCACGCACGGGCGUGGAGGGGAGGCCCUCAUCCAGCAGUGGAUGGACAAAGGCUGAUCCAGAAGCAGUGACGUGAGACAGCGCAUGGUGAGACGUAGCACCACCUCUAUACUUCACCACGCUGGUGGCCUGGGAGGCUUUUGCCGUGCUUGUGGAGGUAACCCCGUCUCGACAUGCCGCAUACAGCAUCACCAGCCAUCUCUCUAGCUCGUCGUGUUUGUCAUCGUAAUUUACUUUUGUGUUUAAAAAAACCGUAUACAGUAACAUGCCGAUCCACUGCUGGAUGAGGGCCCUUCCCAACGCCGGUGCUGUUCGCGAGGGGUUGUUUUAACCAUACUUCACCACGCCGGCCAGUGCGAGUAGGUGACGUCAAAACAACGGUGGUAUUGAAUGUGUAUAUUUGUUGAUCUCAAGAUGAGAAUGAACAAAUGUAUUGUAUCGUUAAUCGAGCUUAUCAUUUACGCAUUCCGGUUAGGCUAAUGAGUUAAUCGGUGUAAUUUUCACGCUCAGUAACCGGUGGAGAUUUAUGCCGUUUUGAGUGGUGUAAAGAUGUCUAAAAUGCAAAUAAAGGACUUGGGUCAAACCGGUCUAAACCGGCUUGGGAGCUCGAAUUCA
Molecule: long non-coding RNA, 8524 nt
Organism: Petromyzon marinus (sea lamprey)
Lineage: Eukaryota; Metazoa; Chordata; Hyperoartia; Petromyzontiformes; Petromyzontidae
Source: RefSeq, a predicted model, not a curated record